GACGAACGCUGGCGGCGUGCUUAACACAUGCAAGUCGAACGGAAAGGCCCUGCUUGCAGGGUACUCGAGUGGCGAACGGGUGAGUAACACGUGGGUGAUCUGCCCUGCACUUCGGGAUAAGCCUGGGAAACUGGGUCUAAUACCGGAUAGGAGCCAUUUUUAGUGUGAUGGUUGGAAAGUUUUUUCGGUGUAGGAUGAGCUCGCGGCCUAUCAGCUUGUUGGUGGGGUAAUGGCCUACCAAGGCGGCGCCGGGUAGCCGGCCUGAGAGGGUGGACGGCCACAUUGGGACUGAGAUACGGCCCAGACUCCUACGGGAGGCAGCAGUGGGGAAUAUUGCACAAUGGGCGCAAGCCUGAUGCAGCGACGCCGCGUGGGGGAUGACGGCCUUCGGGUUGUAAACUCCUUUCGCUAGGGACGAAGCUUUUGUGACGGUACCUAGAUAAGAAGCACCGGCUAACUACGUG
RNAcentral lists this ribosomal RNA (464 nucleotides) under uncultured bacterium. Its description in RNAcentral is "partial 16S ribosomal RNA". It matches the Rfam family "Bacterial small subunit ribosomal RNA", at positions 28 to 507 of the family's 1533-position model. The record is from RNAcentral.